UACGGAGGGUGCAAGCGUUAUCCGGAUUCACUGGGUUUAAAGGGUGCGUAGGCGGAUAGGGAAGUCCGUGGUGAAAUCCUGCAGCUUAACUGCAGAACUGCCGUGGAUACUCUCUAUCUUGGAAUGAUCGUGGAGGGUUAGCGGAAUAUGUCAUGUAGCGGAUGAAAUGCUUAGAUAUGACAUAGAACACCCAUUGCGAAGGCAGCUAACUACGCGAUCAUUGACGCUGAUGCACGAAAGCGUGGGGAUCAAACAGG
This 257-nucleotide ribosomal RNA is filed under the name uncultured bacterium. Its description in RNAcentral is "partial 16S ribosomal RNA". It matches the Rfam family "Bacterial small subunit ribosomal RNA", at positions 524 to 776 of the family's 1533-position model. The record is from RNAcentral.